AAAAUGUUAUACCGAUUCUCAAGUAUAUAUUUUCAUAUUGCAGGUCUUGUUGCAGGUCUAGAAAUGUUUUGCAAUAAAAAUUUGAUUUCAAAAAAAUGAAAGGGAACAAAAACUUUUGCUUAUAAUUUUACUCGGAGAAUGGCUGGAUUCAUUUGAGCGUGUACAGUUUUGUUUAUAAUUAGUGAAGAGAUGAAAAUAAUGGAACAGUAUGGUGCAGAAAGUGUUUUUUUCGUUGCAGUUUCUGCUGCUGGGAAAGCGGUAGAUCACUAUGGCUUCUGUACCGUGAAAUGAAGCUUAUGAUAAAUAAAAUACUGCUGCUUGCUGGUCACUGAUUGAAGAUCGUUCAGUGGCUACCAUUGGCCAAUCUCACCAAUGGGAUAUAAUAAGAACUGAUGCAGGUUUAUAUCUAUGUGUAUUGUCUAUUCGGAACAAAGUUAGUACGCCUUUUAAACCGAUGUUGGAUUUUUCUCCAGAUACAGGCAACCCACUUAACUUUGGAAGUAGUGCGCUGGAUUCGUCUAAAGAUAUGCUAAACAACCGGAGGAAAAUAAAAUAAUUUGUAAAACAA
This is a long non-coding RNA of Armigeres subalbatus, 568 nucleotides long. RefSeq lists it as uncharacterized. The transcript has 3 exons. The record is from RefSeq and is a predicted model, not a curated record. NCBI's taxonomy places the organism in Eukaryota, Metazoa, Arthropoda, Insecta, Diptera, Culicidae.